GAUGAACGCUGGCGGCGUGCCUAAUACAUGCAAGUCGAGCGAACAGAUAAGGAGCUUGCUCCUUUGACGUUAGCGGCGGACGGGUGAGUAACACGUGGAUAACCUACCUAUAAGACUGGGAUAACUUCGGGAAACCGGAGCUAAUACCGGAUAACAUAUUGAACCGCAGUGUUCAAUAGUGAAAGGCGGCUUUGCUGUCUCUUAUAGAUGGAUCCGCGCCGUAUUAGCUAGUUGGUAAGGUAACGGCUUACCAAGGCAACGAUACGUAGCCGACCUGAGAGGGUGAUCGGCCACACUGGAACUGAGACACGGUCCAGACUCCUACGGGAGGCAGCAGUAGGGAAUCUUCCGCAAUGGGCGAAAGCCUGACGGAGCAACGCCGCGUGAGUGAUGAAGGUCUUCGGAUCGUAAAACUCUGUUAUCAGGGAAGAACAAAUGUGUAAGUAACUGUGCACAUCUUGACGGUACCUGAUCAGAAAGCCACGGCUAACUACGUG
RNAcentral lists this ribosomal RNA (497 nucleotides) under uncultured bacterium. RNAcentral describes it as "partial 16S ribosomal RNA". It matches the Rfam family "Bacterial small subunit ribosomal RNA", at positions 28 to 507 of the family's 1533-position model. The record is from RNAcentral.